Long non-coding RNA from Canis lupus familiaris (dog), 314 nucleotides. RefSeq lists it as uncharacterized. The record is from RefSeq and is a predicted model, not a curated record. The transcript is spliced from 2 exons. NCBI's taxonomy places the organism in Eukaryota, Metazoa, Chordata, Mammalia, Carnivora, Canidae.
AGAAGCAGGCCCCAUGCCAGGGAGCCCGACGUGGGACCCGAUCCCGGGACUCCAGGAUCGCGCCCUGAGCCAAAGGCAGGCACUAAACCGCUGGGCCACCCAGGGAUUCCCCAAUCACCUUUUCUAAAGUAGUCAAAAACUACAAAACUACAUCAAUAUGAAGAAGAAAGAGGUACCCACUGAUUUCUCUCAGAUGCAAAAAGUUUUCCAGUGUUCUCAAAUUUUCAAAAUAGAUGACUCUUCUCUAGCAAAAGUGUUGCACAAUUUGAAAAAACAGCCUUCCAGGGAAGACAAGCAAAAAAAAAAAAAAAAAA